CAAUCGGCCCUUUUCAGGGCCAUCAUACGUUCAUAAAAGGGUUUAU
Non-coding RNA from Aedes aegypti (yellow fever mosquito), 46 nucleotides. The record is from Rfam. NCBI's taxonomy places the organism in Eukaryota, Metazoa, Arthropoda, Insecta, Diptera, Culicidae.